RNAcentral lists this long non-coding RNA (1162 nucleotides) under Nicotiana tabacum (common tobacco). RNAcentral describes it as "long non-coding RNA (NTAB_LNC015712)". The record is from RNAcentral. Lineage: Eukaryota; Viridiplantae; Streptophyta; Magnoliopsida; Solanales; Solanaceae.
GCCAUCUUUGCCAAACACAACUCUCCCUACUUUGCCAACAAUUUCAAAUACUACUAUCUUAAGGUCACUUUGCCUCCUAUGCCUUCUAUUCCAAAUAUUACUUCUCCAUCGAACUAAUUUUGAGUUGUUGCAUCACUAUUUACAUGUACCUAUUGUUUAGGGAAAUUACAUAUUCCCCCUUUAGAAUUGACCUGUUUUUCAAGAAUAAGACCUAAACUUUGCAGGAUCCCCUAUAUUUGUUCAGGAUGAUAUAAAUACCACUUUUUACGACUAAUUCUAGAUUCAAGGAAUGUUGUAUGUUUCACGCACCAAUAAUAAAUUGCCACGUAACUUUUCCCUUUCUAAUGUUGUUUUUAUUUUCUUUUGUUUUCUAUUUUUAUUUUUUAUUUUAUAGUCUUCUUAAUACAAUGUUUAUCUUCUCCUCCAAGGUACUUUUCCCUUUCCGAUGGGUCCUUUCCGACUAGUCGAUUUUGUUAUUUUCUUCUUUUUUCUUUUCUUUUCCCCUUCUUUUCAUUCUCUGCAAUUGGUGAAAUUUCAGAUCUCCAAGUAAGUGACUGCUUCAAAUUUUAGAUCUUUGUACUUGGUCCCCAUUUUUUCUGGCAAAGAGUUCGUCGUAAUUUUGUUAGCAUGGUGAAUUUUGAAGAAUUCGCAGAAAAUCCGAGUAAUUCAGCACCAUCAAACUAUUGCACAAAGAAAAAAUAUUAACAAGCACCAAAAUUAUCAAUAGAAAGAAACUCUAUUUAGAUUCUAAGAAAAACGGAGCGCCCCAACGCAAAACCUGAGUAAAAGACUGAAUGCGACAGAAAGUAACCUUACUAGAAAAAAAAUAGAUCUUGUUUAUAUUAUGUUUGCGGAUUAAUAAUGGCGAAGAAAAUGGGAGAAAAAGAGCGUAAUGAAGAAGGAGAAGGCUGAAGGAAGCCAUGGUUUUACGCCAAAGAGAAACAAGAAAAGAAAAAGAAAGAAAGAGAAAAAAAAAAAAAAACUAGAAAAAUAGUAGUAGUAUUUAAUGAGAGAAAUGCUGAUAAAAAUAACUUAUUAAUAACUUUUUUACCUCCCACUCUCUUCAAGAGAGGGAUUUCCACUCUCUAUGCCACAUCAGUUUAAAAGAUUGUAUUUAUUACGCAUCUAACAAGCACAUGAAGGUUAUAAAACCCUCUCAAAG